AAGGGCACCACAAGAACGCGUGGAGCAUGUGGCUUAAUUUGACUCAACGCGGGGAAUCUUACCGGGUCCGGACACACUGAGGAUUGACAGACGGUUAUUGACUUAUACUCGCUUAAUGGCUUUAAGCUGUUAAGUGUUUAACACCUUUACACAAAGAUGCUAGUCCUUUCAUGAUCGUUUGAUAGGUGGUGCAUGGCCGUUCUUAGUUCGUGGAGUGAUCUGUCUGCCUAAUUGCGUUUCACUAAGGUCCCAUUCUUCAUACGUAUGAAUAGCGUCUUAACUCACUCUUACCGCUACCUAUUUGUAGUAAGCGCUCAUACUAUUGGGACCGGAAUGCAACGAGCGCGACUGCACCACCUAAUUGCCCCUUAUCUACCAUUAAUUACUUUAUUAACCGCCCUGUACGGGCACCGGGGCCUUACCUUUACUGAAACUAGCUGGACCGCUGCUUUCCUUUAAGCCAGAGGAAGGUUGCGGCAAUAACAGGUCUGUGAUGCCCUCAGAUGUUCCGGGCCGCACACGUGCUACAAUGAUCAGCACAAAGAGUAUUACCUAUCUUCUUAUACCUAACCCAAUAUGUUAAACUUAUUGCGUAAGGGUAUUGUCUUAACGACUUAUCCGCUUUAGCGCUUUAAGAUUAUUGGACGGUUAUGCCUGCCUCGAAAGAGUGUACAGGGCAGCAAGAGUAAUGAUUCCCUCGUUUUUACUACUAAUACCGCGCUUGGUAACAUAUUACACUCGAUUAAGUAGGGUCUUUGCUUUUAAUAGCAAUUGCUAUCCUCACCCUUAGGCUCUAAGGAUAUUACUAUCUCUAAGGUCUACAGGGAGGUGUAUAUGGCGCACUUACUUAUUCACGGUGGGG
Molecule: ribosomal RNA, 862 nt
Filed under: Globorotalia truncatulinoides
Lineage: Eukaryota; Foraminifera; Rotaliida; Globorotaliidae
Description: bacterial SSU rRNA
Rfam family: Eukaryotic small subunit ribosomal RNA (bases 19-691)
Source: RNAcentral